Molecule: ribosomal RNA, 415 nt
Filed under: uncultured bacterium
Lineage: Bacteria
Description: bacterial SSU rRNA
Rfam family: Bacterial small subunit ribosomal RNA
Source: RNAcentral
UCGGGAAUAUUGCGCAAUGGAGGAAACUCUGACGCAGUGACGCCGCGUGCAGGAAGAAGGUUUUCGGAUUGUAAACUGCUUUAGACAGGGAAGAAACAAGACAGUACCUGUAGAAUAAGCUCCGGCUAACUACGUGCCAGCAGCCGCGGUAAUACGUAGGGAGCAAGCGUUAUCCGGAUUUAUUGGGUGUAAAGGGUGCGUAGACGGGAAGUCAAGUUAGUUGUGAAAUCCCUCGGCUCAACUGAGGAACUGCAACUAAAACUAACUUUCUUGAGUGCUGGAGAGGAAAGUGGAAUUCCUAGUGUAGCGGUGAAAUGCGUAGAUAUUAGGAGGAACACCAGUGGCGAAGGCGACUUUCUGGACAGUAACUGACGUUGAGGCACGAAAGUGUGGGGAGCAAACAGGAUUAGAUACC